RNAcentral lists this ribosomal RNA (766 nucleotides) under Staphylococcus aureus. RNAcentral describes it as "bacterial SSU rRNA". It matches the Rfam family "Bacterial small subunit ribosomal RNA", at positions 28 to 776 of the family's 1533-position model. The record is from RNAcentral. Lineage: Bacteria; Bacillati; Bacillota; Bacilli; Caryophanales; Staphylococcaceae.
GAUGAACGCUGGCGGCGUGCCUAAUACAUGCAAGUCGAGCGAACGGACGAGAAGCUUGCUUCUCUGAUGUUAGCGGCGGACGGGUGAGUAACACGUGGAUAACCUACCUAUAAGACUGAGAUAACUUCGGGAAACCGGAGCUAAUACCGGAUGAUAUUUUGAACCGCAUGGUUCAAAAGUGAAAGACGGUCUUGCUGUCACUUAUAGAUGGAUCCGCGCUGCAUUAGCUAGUUGGUAAGGUAAUGGCUUACCAAGGCAACGAUGCAUAGCCGACCUGAGAGGGUGAUCGGCCACACUGGAACUGAGACACGGUCCAGACUCCUACGGGAGGCAGCAGUAGGGAAUCUUCCGCAAUGGGCGAAAGCCUGACGGAGCAACGCCGCGUGAGUGAUGAAGGUCUUCGGAUCGUAAAACUCUGUUAUUAGGGAAGAACAUAUGUGUAAGUAACUGUGCACAUCUUGACGGUACCUAAUCAGAAAGCCACGGCUAACUACGUGCCAGCAGCCGCGGUAAUACGUAGGUGGCAAGCGUUAUCCGGAAUUAUUGGGCGUAAAGCGCGCGUAGGCGGUUUUUUAAGUCUGAUGUGAAAGCCCACGGCUCAACCGUGGAGGGUCAUUGGAAACUGGAAAACUUGAGUGCAGAAGAGGAAAGUGGAAUUCCAUGUGUAGCGGUGAAAUGCGCAGAGAUAUGGAGGAACACCAGUGGCGAAGGCGACUUUCUGGUCUGUAACUGACGCUGAUGUGCGAAAGCGUGGGGAUCAAACAGG